Molecule: unclassified non-coding RNA, 385 nt
Filed under: Elsholtzia souliei
Lineage: Eukaryota; Viridiplantae; Streptophyta; Magnoliopsida; Lamiales; Lamiaceae
Description: partial external transcribed spacer
Source: RNAcentral
AUCAUCUCCUUCUCGCCUCUUCAUUGAUUGGUCUGAGCCCUUGCCCGGCCAAAGUCGGUUGUCCCGUGCUGCCUACCUAUCUCGAGGGCAUUUUGUUGGCUAGAACCGUCGGUUUUCCUUCGCGUGCCGCCCCCCCUCGUUGGGAGGCGGUGCGCGUCGGACCUCAAGGCAGUCGCCGUGCGUCCCACCGUCUUCAUCCCGAUGGGUGUUUACGGUGUCCGAUCCACGGCGCAACGCCUGAUAUCUCGGGUGCGGAACAUCUAGUGGGUUCGGGGCCUCGGGCCUCCGUGACCACAACUCAAAGCUUUCUACGCUUCGUGCGAACGACCGUCGGCCGAUCUCGUGCCGUGCUCUCGCAGUGCGGUUGGGGUCGUGCCGGCGUCGG